Long non-coding RNA from Archocentrus centrarchus (flier cichlid), 175 nucleotides. RefSeq lists it as uncharacterized. The record is from RefSeq and is a predicted model, not a curated record. The transcript has 3 exons. NCBI's taxonomy places the organism in Eukaryota, Metazoa, Chordata, Actinopteri, Cichliformes, Cichlidae.
UGAGACAGCAGCUAUGGAAUCACCAGAAGGUGAAAGAUCUGAAAAAGUUUGGAGUGAUUUGAUUGAACAGACGAACGCAACACCGGUCAGUCUUUAGGUCCAGGUUGCAGGGACAGCAGUCCAAGUACAGACGCCCAUAAAUCACCCUCACCUUGUGGUAGGGGUUGUUGCAGCC